Amphimedon queenslandica is the source of this 140-nucleotide long non-coding RNA. RefSeq lists it as uncharacterized. The record is from RefSeq and is a predicted model, not a curated record. Lineage: Eukaryota; Metazoa; Porifera; Demospongiae; Haplosclerida; Niphatidae. The transcript is spliced from 2 exons.
GUUACAAAAGAUUAAACUUUGAAUCCCAAAGAGAUGAGAGACUUUGUCAGCAAAUCAGAGACAAUAGUCAGGAGUUGAGAGAGUUAGAGUCAAAGUUACGUGCUGGAUACAUGAACAAGGAAAGAGCAGCUCAACUUCAA